RNAcentral lists this ribosomal RNA (441 nucleotides) under Hypocreales sp. UOM PLA12. RNAcentral describes it as "eukaryotic LSU rRNA". The stretch from base 124 to 277 matches the Rfam family "5.8S ribosomal RNA". Lineage: Eukaryota; Fungi; Ascomycota; Sordariomycetes; Hypocreales. The record is from RNAcentral.
UGUCGCGCCGGGUUGCCCCCAGCGGGCUCCCGGGACCACGCGCCCGCCGGAGACCACAAACUCUUGAUUUUGCGAAAGCAGUAUUCUUCUGAGUGGCCGAAAGGCAAAAAACAAAUGAAUCAAAACUUUCAACAACGGAUCUCUUGGUUCUGGCAUCGAUGAAGAACGCAGCGAAAUGCGAUAAGUAAUGUGAAUUGCAGAAUUCAGUGAAUCAUCGAAUCUUUGAACGCACAUUGCGCCCGCCAGCAUUCUGGCGGGCAUGCCUGUUCGAGCGUCAUUUCAACCCUCGAGCUCGUCUUCAUUGACGAGAUCGGUGUUGGGACCCGGCAAAGCGGACCCAGUCCGGCGCCGGCCCCGAAAUUCAGUGGCGGCCCGUUGCGGCGACCUCUGCGUAGUAACUUAACCUCGCAGUGGAAGAGCAGCGCGGCCACGCCGUAAAAC